This is a non-coding RNA of Schistosoma rodhaini, 46 nucleotides long. The record is from Rfam. NCBI's taxonomy places the organism in Eukaryota, Metazoa, Platyhelminthes, Trematoda, Strigeidida, Schistosomatidae.
GCACUGCUGAGGAGUCCCAUAAUGAGACGAAAUGGCCGUCCAGUGC